AGAGUUUGAUCAUGGCUCAGGAUGAACGCUAGCGGCGGGCUUAAUACAUGCAAGUCGAACGGGCAGCAAUGCUAGUGGCGGACGGGUGCGUAACACGUAUGCAACCUACCUUUGGAUGGGGGACAACGGGGGGAAACUCCCGCUAAUACCGCAUGAUGCAGCGGGCUCGCAUGAGCAUAGUUGUUAAAGCCUUCGGGCGUCUAAAGAUGGGCAUGGGUCUGAUUAGGUAGUUGGCGAGGUAACGGCUCCCCAAGCCUACGAUCAGUAACUGGUCUUAGCGGAUGAUCAGUCACACUGGCACUGAGACACGGGCCAGACUCCUACGGGAGGCAGCAGUAGGGAAUAUUGGGCAAUGGGCGCAAGCCUGACCCAGCCACGCCGCGUGCGGGAUGAAGGUCCAUAGGAUUGUAAACCGCUUUGGCAGGGGAAUAAUGCACUUGUAACUCAAGUGUUUGCAGGUACCCUGAGAACAAGCACCGGCAAACUACGUGCCAGCCGCCGCGGUAAUAC
This 510-nucleotide ribosomal RNA is filed under the name uncultured bacterium. RNAcentral's name for it is "partial 16S ribosomal RNA". It matches the Rfam family "Bacterial small subunit ribosomal RNA", at positions 8 to 526 of the family's 1533-position model. The record is from RNAcentral.